This 74-nucleotide transfer RNA is filed under the name Nanobdellota archaeon. Its description in RNAcentral is "tRNA-Ile". It matches the Rfam family "tRNA". From Rfam's summary of the family: Transfer RNA (tRNA) molecules are approximately 80 nucleotides in length. Their secondary structure includes four short double-helical elements and three loops (D, anti-codon, and T loops). Further hydrogen bonds mediate the characteristic L-shaped molecular structure. tRNAs have two regions of fundamental functional importance: the anti-codon, which is responsible for specific mRNA codon recognition, and the 3' end, to which the tRNAs corresponding amino acid is attached (by aminoacyl-tRNA synthetases). tRNAs cope with the degeneracy of the genetic code in two manners: having more than one tRNA (with a specific anti-codon) for a particular amino acid; and 'wobble' base-pairing, i.e. permitting non-standard base-pairing at the 3rd anti-codon position. RNAcentral also lists the same sequence under 1 other name. The record is from RNAcentral. Lineage: Archaea; Nanobdellati; Nanobdellota.
GAUCGCGUAGCUCAGUUGGUUAGAGCGCUGCUCUGAUAAGGCAGAGGUCCCCAGUUCAAUUCUGGGCGCGAUCA